This 376-nucleotide ribosomal RNA is filed under the name uncultured Candidatus Thermofonsia sp. Its description in RNAcentral is "bacterial SSU rRNA". It matches the Rfam family "Bacterial small subunit ribosomal RNA", at positions 20 to 404 of the family's 1533-position model. The record is from RNAcentral. Lineage: Bacteria; Bacillati; Chloroflexota; Candidatus Thermofontia.
UGGCUCAGGAUUAACGCUGGCGGCGUGCCUAACCCAUGCAAGUCGUACGAUCCAGUAGCAAUACUGGAGAGUGGCGGAAGGGUGAGUAACACGUUGGUGAUCUGCCUCGUCGCAGGGAACAACAGUCCGAAAGGAUUGCUAAUACCCAAAAGGAUCAGCAGUUCGUUCUGUUGAUCAGAGUCGAAAGGCGUGACGAGAGGAGCCUGCGGCCCAUCAGCUGGUUGGCGGGGUAACGGCCCACCAAGGCAACGACGGGUAGGGGGUCUGAGAGGAUGGCCCCCCACACUGGAACUGAAACACGGUCCAGACGCCUACGGGUGGCAGCAGGGAGAAUAUUGGGCAAUGGGCGAAAGCCUGACCCAGCAACGCCGCGUGG